Molecule: long non-coding RNA, 762 nt
Organism: Gossypium arboreum
Lineage: Eukaryota; Viridiplantae; Streptophyta; Magnoliopsida; Malvales; Malvaceae
Exons: 3
Source: RefSeq, a predicted model, not a curated record
AGUGAUAAUCAUUUGAAACAAGAUUCUUCUAGUGGUUAUUCAAGAAACUACAAUCAAGGGUUUAAACACAAAGGAGAAAGUAAAGGUACUUAUGGGUCAGUUAAUGUCAAUCAACCAUCAUAGUUUCGAUAAUCAAAGUGGUUCUGAAAGUCAAAACUAUUUUGGUGCGUUGCCUCGGUGUUUUAACAUGCAAUCCUGUUGUGGUGCUCCUCCAUUCCACAAUAAACAACCCUCUUCAACAACGUAUAUUGAGAACAACAAUCGAGGUCAUCUUCACACUUCUCUUGAUCAAGCUUGGUAUCUGAACUUAGGAGCAACAAAUCACGUGACAAAUGAUACGUCUAUGCUCACAAAUGUUGUGCCAUAUACAGGACAUUCAGACAUGGAUCACGUUAGUAGUGGGCCACAUGCAUAAUGGGUUUUACAAGUUUGAUGCUUACAACUAUUGGUGAACAUUCAGGUGUUUCUGGAACUACUUUUGGUUUGAGUUUUUCCACAUGUGUAUCUAAUGUUGAGGUCCAAAAUGUUGAACUAUGGUAUAAGAGGCUUGGUUAUCCUUGUCCUAGAGUUCUUACUCAAGUAUUAUGCAGUUGUAAUAUUCAUUUCAGUAAAGAAAAAUUGUCACAAGUAUGUAUUGCAUGUCAUCUAGGUAAAGCCUACAAGCUGGCUUUUUCUUCACCUAGUACAAUAUAUGCUUUUCAUUUUGAACUGGUUUUCUUGGAUUUGUGGGGACCAAACGAAAUUGUAUGGGUUUCUUUAUUA